Molecule: long non-coding RNA, 1115 nt
Organism: Platichthys flesus (European flounder)
Lineage: Eukaryota; Metazoa; Chordata; Actinopteri; Pleuronectiformes; Pleuronectidae
Exons: 4
Source: RefSeq, a predicted model, not a curated record
UGGAGCAGGAGCGAGGAAGAGGAGCAGCAGGCGCGAGGAGGAAGAAGAACACCUCCACUGUUCCACAGAGUCCAACACCCAGCGUCUGCCGAGGUUCAGCAGCAGCUGAAGUUCAGGACCAUUUUAUCUUGGGAACAGAUGACGCCUGCAGCAUCACGUCGGUGCACAGAGUGACGGGAGGUCUGUUUUUGUCUUUGGUUAUCUAGCUGUAUGAGUGUUAAAUACCUGUCAUAAAGCUAGAUAACCGAAAGUAGAAAUGACUUCUGUAUAACGUUGUGAGAGGGAGAGAGGGAGAGAGAGAGAGAGAGAAGGCGAGAGCGAGAGAAGGCGAGAGAGGACCCUUCGGGCUUUAAACCCAACGAAGUGGAUUUUCGCUUUCAAAACAAAAAGUUUUCUGGAGGUUGGCCUGUUCCUAAAAACCCUGCUCAGAGCAAACCAGGAAAGCGGGGAGGAAAACGCGGUCAGGCCGACAGCGCCACCUCCUCCUCCCUCACCACCCUUUUUGCCCCACAGCCUCUAAUGCCAUCUGCACCGCCAACGGGGGGGACACUUUGCCCGUGCCAGGAGGAGGCGGAGAAAGACCCUCGCCGGAUCCCCGGAGAACGGGCGCGCUCAGAGGAGCCAUCUUGGGAGAUGUUGCCGCGACACCUAAAAUGGCUGGGGCUGGCAUAGUAGGCCGGGACCUGUGAGGCUCUGCUCUCUGCAGGGAACUGCUCUGGCCCCAGGAGUCUGUGGAGCAAACGCAAGAAAAUGUCGUCAUCAGAUUCUGUCGAGCCUCUCACCGGAGCAGGAACUCCAAGAGAUUAACUGUCAACUAAACGCUGCAAGAAGAGGAAGCAGAAGAAGAAGAGGAAGAGGAAGAAGAGGAGCCAUGUGUAGAAACAACAGAUUUGCUGUGUUAAUCUGAAUUGUAGCUCAAGAUGACUGCUAUCCUUAGAAAUACAGAGUUUAUUUUAAAAUGCUGUACUAAUGAAUAAUUGUAUUUAAUUAUAACACAAUUAUAACUGCAAAUAAAAAAGCAUUAACUGUUUUCACAUAAUUCAUUGUUUUAUAAGUACUUUCAUAGCUAAUUCACAUUUUCAUUAUAGUUUUAUUUUAAUUUCAUUAUUCUCGUA